UGGGGAAUAUUGCACAAUGGGCGCAAGCCUGAUGCAGCCAUGCCGCGUGUGUGAAGAAGGCCUUCGGGUUGUAAAGCACUUUCAGCGGGGAGGAAGGCGGUGAGGUUAAUAACCUCACCGAUUGACGUUACCCGCAGAAGAAGCACCGACUAACUCCGUGCCAGCAGCCGCGGUAAUACGGAGGGUGCAAGCGUUAAUCGGAAUUACUGGGCGUAAAGCGCACGCAGGCGGUCUGUCAAGUCGGAUGUGAAAUCCCCGGGCUCAACCUGGGAACUGCAUUCGAAACUGGCAGGCUAGAGUCUUGUAGAGGGGGGUAGAAUUCCAGGUGUAGCGGUGAAAUGCGUAGAGAUCUGGAGGAAUACCGGUGGCGAAGGCGGCCCCCUGGACAAAGACUGACGCUCAGGUGCGAAAGCGUGGGGAGCAAACAGG
This 429-nucleotide ribosomal RNA is filed under the name Chloroflexota bacterium. Its description in RNAcentral is "Chloroflexi bacterium partial 16S ribosomal RNA". It matches the Rfam family "Bacterial small subunit ribosomal RNA", at positions 355 to 776 of the family's 1533-position model. The record is from RNAcentral. Lineage: Bacteria; Bacillati; Chloroflexota.